CCUACGGGAGGCAGCAGUGGGGAAUAUUGCACAAUGGGGGAAACCCUGAUGCAGCGACGCCGCGUGAGUGAAGAAGUAAUUCGUUAUGUUAAGCUCUAUCAGCAGGGCAGAAAAUGACGGUCCCUGAGUAAGAAGCCCCGGCUCACUACGUGCCAGCAGCCGCGGUAAUACGUAGGGGGCCAGUGUUAUCCGGAUUUACUGGGGGUAAAGGGGGCGUAGACGGCAGUGCAAGUCUGGAGUGAAAGGCGGGGGGUCAACCCCCGGACUGCUCUGGAAACUGUACGGCUGGAGUGCAGGAGAGGUAAGUGGAAUGCCCGGUGUAGCGGUGAAAUGCGUAGAUAUUAGGAAGAACACCAGUGGCGAAGGCGGCUUACUGGAUUGUAACUGACGUUGAGGCACGAAAGCGUGGGGAGCAAACAGGAUUAGAUACCCUAGUAGUC
RNAcentral lists this ribosomal RNA (440 nucleotides) under uncultured bacterium. RNAcentral describes it as "partial 16S ribosomal RNA". It matches the Rfam family "Bacterial small subunit ribosomal RNA", at positions 338 to 795 of the family's 1533-position model. The record is from RNAcentral.